RNAcentral lists this transfer RNA (71 nucleotides) under Toxocara canis (dog roundworm). It matches the Rfam family "tRNA". Rfam says of the family: Transfer RNA (tRNA) molecules are approximately 80 nucleotides in length. Their secondary structure includes four short double-helical elements and three loops (D, anti-codon, and T loops). The record is from Rfam by way of RNAcentral. Lineage: Eukaryota; Metazoa; Nematoda; Chromadorea; Rhabditida; Toxocaridae.
ACGGCAGUAGCUCAGUGGUAGAGCCCCCGCUUGGCAUGCGGGAGACCUGGGUUCGAUUCCCGGCUGCUUCU